Molecule: ribosomal RNA, 166 nt
Filed under: uncultured rumen bacterium
Lineage: Bacteria
Description: partial 16S ribosomal RNA
Rfam family: Bacterial small subunit ribosomal RNA
Source: RNAcentral
UACGGGAGCAGCAGUGGGGGAUAUUGGACAAUGGGGGCAACCCUGAUCCAGCGACGCCGCGUGAGGGAAGAAGGUUUUCGGAUUGUAAACCUCUGUUGACAGGGAAGAAAAUGACGGUACCUGUUUAGAAAGCCACGGCUAACUACGUGCCAGCAGCCGCGGUAAU